RNAcentral lists this long non-coding RNA (256 nucleotides) under Capsicum annuum. RNAcentral describes it as "long non-coding RNA (CANN_LNC014270)". Lineage: Eukaryota; Viridiplantae; Streptophyta; Magnoliopsida; Solanales; Solanaceae. The record is from RNAcentral.
CGGACCUCAUUUGUGGAAUUUUACUAGGUGUAUUAUUGUUGUUAUUAUUGACAUAUCAUGAUUAUCCACUUAUUUUACUUAAUUCAUAAUUAAACUUAUAUACUUCUUAAACUCAAACCCGCCCCUUAGAAUAUGAUCCUUUCUUUUUAACUUAAACUUGGUGAUAAAUAAACCAAGACACACCACAUAUAUACGGUUUUUAGCCUUUUUAUUGACAACCAUAAGCAUGCUAGUUUUGUAGUUUGAAUGAAAUGAC